GCUCAGAAACUCAAGGAAUUGACGGGGCCCGCACAAGCGGAGGAGCAUGUGGUUUAAUUCGAUGAUACGCGAGGAACCUUACCUGGGCUCGAACGUAAGAUGACUGUAGGUGAAAGCUUACAUCUCUUCGGAGCAUUUUACGAGGUGCUGCAUGGUUGUCGUCAGCUCGUGCCGUGAGGUGUCGGGUUAAGUCCCAUAACGAGCGCAACCCUACCUUUAGUUGCCAUCAGGUAAUGCUGGGGACUCUAAAGGAACUGCCUACGCAAGUAGUGAGGAAGGCGGGGAUGACGUCAAAUCAGCACGGCCCUUACGUCCAGGGCUACACACGUGCUACAAUGGCCGAUACAGAGGGCAGCUACCUGGUGACAGGAUGCAAAUCUCCAAAGUCGGUCUCAGUUCGGAUCGGAGUCUGCAACCCGACUCCGUGAAGUUGGAUUCGCUAGUAAUCGCGCAUCAGCCAUGGCGCGGUGAAUACGUUCCCGGGCCUU
This 488-nucleotide ribosomal RNA is filed under the name uncultured Sphingobacteriales bacterium. RNAcentral describes it as "bacterial SSU rRNA". It matches the Rfam family "Bacterial small subunit ribosomal RNA", at positions 891 to 1382 of the family's 1533-position model. The record is from RNAcentral. Lineage: Bacteria; Pseudomonadati; Bacteroidota; Sphingobacteriia; Sphingobacteriales.